UCGUCAGGUAAGAUAAUCCUUACCUGCUCCUUCUUUGGAGGGAAGAUUAGAGCAUGAUGAUUGGAGAAAAAAAAUUACAGAU
RNAcentral lists this small nucleolar RNA (82 nucleotides) under Pteropus vampyrus (large flying fox). Its description in RNAcentral is "U8 small nucleolar RNA (ENSPVAG00000027443.1)". It matches the Rfam family "U8 small nucleolar RNA", at positions 1 to 83 of the family's 135-position model. Rfam says of the family: U8 is a member of the C/D class of snoRNA which contain the C (UGAUGA) and D (CUGA) box motifs. U8 is the RNA component of a small complex (the U8 snoRNP) which is required for accumulation of mature large subunit ribosomal RNAs, 5.8S and 28S rRNAs. The record is from RNAcentral. Lineage: Eukaryota; Metazoa; Chordata; Mammalia; Chiroptera; Pteropodidae.